Molecule: ribosomal RNA, 371 nt
Filed under: uncultured organism
Description: bacterial SSU rRNA
Rfam family: Bacterial small subunit ribosomal RNA
Source: RNAcentral
CGUAGGGUGCGAGCGUUAAUCGGAAUUACUGGGCGUAAAGCGUGCGCAGGCGGUUUUGUAAGCAGGCGUGAAAUCCCCGGGCUCAACCUGGGAACUGCGCUUGUGACUGCAAGGCUAGAGUACGGCAGAGGGGGUGGAAUUCCACGUGUAGCAGUGAAAUGCGUAGAGAUGUGGAGGAACACCAAUGGCGAAGGCAGCCCCCUCGGGUCGAUACUGACGCUCAUGCACGAAAGCGUGGGUAGCAAACAGGAUUAGAUACCCUGGUAGUCCACGCCCUAAACGAUGUCAACUAGGUGUUGGGUGGGUAAAACCAUUUAGUACCGGAGCUAACGCGUGAAGUUGACCGCCUGGGGAGUACGGCCGCAAGGUUA